CCUAACACAUGCAAGUCGAACGGUAACAGGAAGCAGCUUGCUGCUUCGCUGACGAGUGGCGGACGGGUGAGUAAUGUCUGGGAAGCUGCCUGAUGGAGGGGGAUAACUACUGGAAACGGUAGCUAAUACCGCAUAACGUCGCAAGACCAAAGAGGGGGACCUUCGGGCCUCUUGCCAUCGGAUGUGCCCAGAUGGGAUUAGCUAGUAGGUGGGGUAACGGCUCACCUAGGCGACGAUCCCUAGCUGGUCUGAGAGGAUGACCAGCCACACUGGAACUGAGACACGGUCCAGACUCCUACGGGAGGCAGCAGUGGGGAAUAUUGCACAAUGGGCGCAAGCCUGAUGCAGCCAUGCCGCGUGUAUGAAGAAGGCCUUCGGGUUGU
This 383-nucleotide ribosomal RNA is filed under the name uncultured bacterium. RNAcentral's name for it is "bacterial SSU rRNA". It matches the Rfam family "Bacterial small subunit ribosomal RNA", at positions 47 to 426 of the family's 1533-position model. The record is from RNAcentral.